GGUAUUGAAAUAAGAUUUUAAUGAGUGCUAAGAGAAUGAUUAAACAAUUAAAAGCUUUCUUUAAUUAAAAAAUUAAAUUUAAUUUUUUUAGUGCAAAAGCAAAAAUAAAAUUUAGGGACAAGAAGACCCUAUGAAUUUUUAUUGUUAAUAAUUAAAAUUUAAGUUAUUAAUAAUUUAAUUGGGGCGAUAAAAAAAGAAUAAGUAUCUUUUUAGUUAUAAAAUAAGUUCCGUUUUUAGCGAUUAAAUGAAAUAAAUACUCUAGGGAUAACAGCGUAAUAAUUUUGGAUAGUUCAUAUAGAUAAAAUAGUUUGCGACCUCGAUGUUGGAUUAGGAUUCUUUUUUGGUGAAGAA
Molecule: ribosomal RNA, 351 nt
Filed under: Ixodes scapularis (black-legged tick)
Lineage: Eukaryota; Metazoa; Arthropoda; Arachnida; Ixodida; Ixodidae
Description: partial 16S ribosomal RNA
Source: RNAcentral